This 648-nucleotide ribosomal RNA is filed under the name Limosilactobacillus mucosae. RNAcentral describes it as "bacterial SSU rRNA". It matches the Rfam family "Bacterial small subunit ribosomal RNA", at positions 46 to 683 of the family's 1533-position model. Lineage: Bacteria; Bacillati; Bacillota; Bacilli; Lactobacillales; Lactobacillaceae. The record is from RNAcentral.
ACUGAUUGAACGUGCUUGCACGGACUUGACGUUGGUUUACCAGCGAGUGGCGGACGGGUGAGUAACACGUAGGUAACCUGCCCCAAAGCGGGGGAUAACAUUUGGAAACAGAUGCUAAUACCGCAUAACAAUUUGAAUCGCAUGAUUCAAAUUUAAAAGAUGGCUUCGGCUAUCACUUUGGGAUGGACCUGCGGCGCAUUAGCUUGUUGGUAGGGUAACGGCCUACCAAGGCUGUGAUGCGUAGCCGAGUUGAGAGACUGAUCGGCCACAAUGGAACUGAGACACGGUCCAUACUCCUACGGGAGGCAGCAGUAGGGAAUCUUCCACAAUGGGCGCAAGCCUGAUGGAGCAACACCGCGUGAGUGAAGAAGGGUUUCGGCUCGUAAAGCUCUGUUGUUAGAGAAGAACGUGCGUGAGAGCAACUGUUCACGCAGUGACGGUAUCUAACCAGAAAGUCACGGCUAACUACGUGCCAGCAGCCGCGGUAAUACGUAGGUGGCAAGCGUUAUCCGGAUUUAUUGGGCGUAAAGCGAGCGCAGGCGGUUUGAUAAGUCUGAUGUGAAAGCCUUUGGCUUAACCAAAGAAGUGCAUCGGAAACUGUCAGACUUGAGUGCAGAAGAGGACAGUGGAACUCCAUGGGGGAAAGGG